RNAcentral lists this ribosomal RNA (253 nucleotides) under uncultured bacterium. Its description in RNAcentral is "partial 16S ribosomal RNA". It matches the Rfam family "Bacterial small subunit ribosomal RNA", at positions 524 to 776 of the family's 1533-position model. The record is from RNAcentral.
UACGGAGGGUGCAAGCGUUAUCCGGAUUCACUGGGUUUAAAGGGUGCGUAGGCGGGCAGGUAAGUCCGUGGUGAAAUCUCUGAGCUUAACUCAGAAACUGCCAUGGAUACUAUUUGUCUUGAAUAUUGUGGAGGUAAGCGGAAUAUGUCAUGUAGCGGUGAAAUGCUUAGAUAUGACAUAGAACACCCAUUGCGAAGGCAGCUUACUACACAAUGAUUGACGCUGAGGCACGAAAGCGUGGGGAGCAAACAGG